AUUCGAUGCAACGCGAAGAACCUUACCUGGUCUUGACAUGUACGGAAUCCUCCAGAGACGGAGGAGUGCCUUCGGGAGCCGUAACACAGGUGCUGCAUGGCUGUCGUCAGCUCGUGUCGUGAGAUGUUGGGUUAAGUCCCGCAACGAGCGCAACCCUUGUCAUUAGUUGCCAUCAUUUAGUUGGGCACUCUAAUGAGACUGCCGGUGACAAGCCGGAGGAAGGUGGGGAUGACGUCAAGUCCUCAUGGCCCUUAUGACCAGGGCUUCACACGUCAUACAAUGGUCGGUACAGAGGGAAGCGAACCGCGAGGUGGAGCAAAUCCCAGAAACAAGCUCUCAGUUCGGAUCGUAGGCUGCAACUCGCCUACGUGAAGUCGGAAUCGCUAGUAAUCGCAGGUCAGCAUACUGCGGUGAAUACGUUCCCGGGCCUAGUACAC
Molecule: ribosomal RNA, 437 nt
Filed under: uncultured bacterium
Lineage: Bacteria
Description: bacterial SSU rRNA
Rfam family: Bacterial small subunit ribosomal RNA
Source: RNAcentral